Long non-coding RNA from Neofelis nebulosa (Clouded leopard), 1874 nucleotides. RefSeq lists it as uncharacterized. Lineage: Eukaryota; Metazoa; Chordata; Mammalia; Carnivora; Felidae. The record is from RefSeq and is a predicted model, not a curated record. The transcript has 2 exons.
ACCAUUGGAAUAAACAUGAAAUGGUAAUUUUUUUGAAAGUUAUUUUUUUAAUUAAUUUUUUUUUUACAUUUAUUUAUUUUUGAGAGACAGAGAAAGACAGAGCACAAGUGGGGGAGGGGCAGAGAGAGAAUGAGACACAGAAUCCGAAGCAGGCUCCAGGCUCUGAGCUGUCAACACAGAACCCGAUACAGGGCUCCAACCUAUGAACUGUGAGUUCAUGACCUGAGCUGAAGUUGGAUGCCCAACCGACUGAGCCACCCAGGCCAUUUCAGCCCAAUGUCAAGAAACACUUCGUAACAGAACUGGGUAAAAAAAAAAAAAGAGUGAAUUCCCAGUCACUUGAAGGAUUCAAGCAUAAAUUGUCACCUACUUGACUGGACAUUAUAGAAGAGAUUCGAGCAACAGAAGUGUGGUUUUUGUAUGAUUCCUGCUGUGUGAGAAAUCAUUUAACCUCUCUGAGACUCUAUUCUCUGUAAAAUGGAGAAGUUUGACUAAAUUACCUCCAGUUCCUUUUGAGUUUUAAAUUGUUUUGAUUCUGCAUUGGUGUAAUUACAUUUGUCUGUCUUUUCCAGAUUUACAUAAUAUCAGCCUUUUAUCACUUGAAAUACAUAGCUAUACUUGUGAGAAUUAAUUGAAUAUUUGUAAAAUUGCAAAACACUAUGUAAGUGUAAAGCAUUACAGUCCAACAUCAUUGGCUGUUAGGAAAAUGCAAAUUAACCCCACAAUGACAUACCACUACACACUUGUUAGAAUGGCUAACUAACAUUAAAAAUAUUUAUGAUACCAAGUACUGCCAAGAUAUGGAGCAAUUGUAUCUCUCGUUCUUUGUUGGUGGGAAUGUUAAAUGAUAUAGCUACCCUAGAAAACAGUUUGGCAGUUUCUUCUGAAGUUAAACAUAAACUUACCAUAAUACCCAGCAAUCCAACUACUGGAUAUUUACUCUAGAGAAAUGAACAUUUAAAUUUGUACAAAAAUCUGUGUCCAGAUUUUUUUACAGUUUAUUUAUUUUGAAAGAGAGGAAGAGAAUGCAAGCUGGAGAGGGGCAGAGAGAGAGGGAGAGAAUCCUAAGCAGGCCCCAUGCUGUUAGCAUAGAGCCCCACCUGGGGCUCGAUAUCAUGAACUGUGAGACCAUGACCUGAGCUGAGAUCAAGAGUUGGAGGUCUGAAUGAGCCACCUAGGUGCCACUGUGUAUAGAUUUUCAUUAAAUCUUUAUGACAGCCAACUGGAGACCACCCAAUGGGUGAAUGAGUAAACUGUGGUACAUUCAUAUCAUGGAAUACUACUCAGCAAUAAAAAAGGAACAAACUAUUAACAUACACACAAAAACUUAUAUGGGUCUCAAGGCCAUUAUACUGACUGAAAAAAAGCCAGUAUCAAAAGGUUACAUAUGAUACAAUUCCAUUUCUACAACAGCCUCAAAAUAGCAAAAUUAUAGUGAUGGAGAACACAUCAGUUGGGCCAGUGGUUAGAGUUAGAGGGAAGGUGUGACUAUAAAGGGGUAGCAGGAGGGAGUUACUUCGGAGUAAUGGAAUAGUUUUAUAUCCUAAUUGUAAUGAACACUACAUUAAUCUCUGAUAUGUGGUAAAUUUUAUAGAACUAAACAAACACACAGAAAUUUAUGUUUUUCUUCGAGUUUCUGGAAAGCAAGGAAAUAUGUAUCUAUAUUCAAUUUUUGUUUUCAUUGACUUUUUUUAUGUUUAGCUCUGAACUGUCUUGUAAUCAAUAAUGUGAAAUGUUUCUCAUAUGAAACAUUUUUUCUUGUUGAAGAAUGGUAUAGAAAGAAGGGUGUGAGGUAUACUUACUUGAUGGUAAUUUUACUCCUUUUCUUUAGAGGUGUAAAUGGUCAAAUGUGAAAUAAAUUCAGGUACAUCGCA